CGGGCACUAACUCAGUGGUAGAGCUCCCGCUUCAUAUGCGCGAAAGCCAUGGAUUCGAUUUCCGUCUGCUUGC
RNAcentral lists this transfer RNA (73 nucleotides) under Toxocara canis (dog roundworm). It matches the Rfam family "tRNA". From Rfam's summary of the family: Transfer RNA (tRNA) molecules are approximately 80 nucleotides in length. Their secondary structure includes four short double-helical elements and three loops (D, anti-codon, and T loops). Lineage: Eukaryota; Metazoa; Nematoda; Chromadorea; Rhabditida; Toxocaridae. The record is from Rfam by way of RNAcentral.